UACGUAGGGGGCUAGCGUUGUCCGGAAUCAUUGGGCGUAAAGAGCGUGUAGGCGGCCCGGUAAGUCCGCUGUAAAAGUCAAAGGCUCAACCUUUGAAUGUCAGUGGAUACUGCCGGGCUAGAGUCCGGAAGAGGCGAGUGGAACUCCUGGUGUAGCGGUGGAAUGCGCAGAUAUCAGGAAGAACACCAACGGCGAAGGCAGCUCGCUGGGACGGUACUGACGCUGAGACGCGAAAGCGCGGGGAGCGAACAGG
This 253-nucleotide ribosomal RNA is filed under the name uncultured bacterium. Its description in RNAcentral is "partial 16S ribosomal RNA". It matches the Rfam family "Bacterial small subunit ribosomal RNA", at positions 524 to 776 of the family's 1533-position model. The record is from RNAcentral.